RNAcentral lists this ribosomal RNA (372 nucleotides) under uncultured organism. Its description in RNAcentral is "bacterial SSU rRNA". It matches the Rfam family "Bacterial small subunit ribosomal RNA", at positions 526 to 896 of the family's 1533-position model. The record is from RNAcentral.
CGUAGGGAGCAAGCGUUGUUCGGAUUUACUGGGCGUAAAGGGCGCGUAGGCGGCGCGGUAAGUCACUUGUGAAAUCUCUGAGCUUAACUCAGAACGGCCAAGUGAUACUGCAGUGCUAGAGUGCAGAAAGGGCAAUCGGAAUUCUUGGUGUAGCGGUGAAAUGCGUAGAUAUCAAGAGGAACACCUGAGGCGAAGGCGGGUUGCUAGGCUGACACUGACGCUGAGGCGCGAAAGCCAGGGGAGCAAACGGGAUUAGAUACCCCGGUAGUCCUGGCCCUAAACGAUGAAUACUUGGUGUCUGGAGUUCUGAUACUCCGGGUGCCGUCGCUAACGUUUUUAGUAUUCCGCCUGGGGAGUACGCUCGCAAGAGUG